Molecule: unclassified non-coding RNA, 352 nt
Filed under: soil metagenome
Description: partial contains 5.8S ribosomal RNA, internal transcribed spacer 2, and large subunit ribosomal RNA
Rfam family: 5.8S ribosomal RNA (bases 1-120)
Source: RNAcentral
GAUGAAGAACGCAGCGAAAUGCGAUAAGUAAUGUGAAUUGCAGAAUUCAGUGAAUCAUCGAAUCCUUGAACGCACAUUGCGCCCGCCAGUAUUCUGGCGGGCAUGCCUGUUCGAGCGUCAUUACAACCCUCAGGCCCCCGGGCCUGGCGUUGGGGAUCGGCGGAGCCCCCCGUGGGCACACGCCGUCCCCCAAAUACAGUGGCGGUCCCGCCGCAGCUUCCAUCGCGUAGUAGCUAACACCUCGCGACUGGAGAGCGGCGCGGCCACGCCGUAAAACACCCAACUCUUCUGAAGUUGACCUCGAAUCAGGUAGGAAUACCCGCUGAACUUAAGCAUAUCAAUAAGCGGAGGA